CCCGAAAGGAAGGGUGCCCUUCGGGGAAUUCCGAGACAGGUGCUGCAUGGCUGUCGUCAGCUCGUGCCGUGAGGUGUGGGUUAAGUCCCGCAACGAGCGCAACCCUAUUGCCAGUUGCUACCAGGUAAUGCUGGGCACUCUGGUGAGACUGCCCCGGUUAACGGGGAGGAAGGUGGGGACGACGUCAAGUCAUCAUGGCCCUUACGCCUAGGGCUACACACGUACUACAAUGGCGCAUACAAAGGGCAGCGAUACCGCGAGGUGGAGCCAAUCCCAAAAAGUGCGUCCCAGUCCGGAUUGCAGUCUGCAACUCGACUGCAUGAAGUUGGAAUCGCUAGUAAUUCGAGAUCAGCAUGCUCGGGUGAAUGCGUUCCCGGGCCUU
Molecule: ribosomal RNA, 382 nt
Filed under: uncultured Desulfovibrio sp.
Lineage: Bacteria; Pseudomonadati; Thermodesulfobacteriota; Desulfovibrionia; Desulfovibrionales; Desulfovibrionaceae
Description: bacterial SSU rRNA
Rfam family: Bacterial small subunit ribosomal RNA
Source: RNAcentral